UACGGAGGGUGCAAGCGUUGCUCGGAAUUAUUGGGCGUAAAGGGUAGGUAGGUGGUCUCAUUUGUCUGGGGUGAAAGCCUUGAGCUUAACUCAAGAAGUGCCCCAGAAACGGUGAGACUGGAGUCCUGGAGAGGGUCGUGGAAUUCCCGGCGUAGCGGUGAAAUGCGUAGAGAUCGGGAGGAACACCAGAGGCGAAAGCGGCGACCUGGACAGGCACUGACACUCAACUACGAAAGCGUGGGGAGCAAACAGG
Molecule: ribosomal RNA, 253 nt
Filed under: uncultured bacterium
Lineage: Bacteria
Description: partial 16S ribosomal RNA
Rfam family: Bacterial small subunit ribosomal RNA
Source: RNAcentral